This 82-nucleotide transfer RNA is filed under the name Rhipicephalus microplus (southern cattle tick). RNAcentral's name for it is "tRNA-Ser". It matches the Rfam family "tRNA". From Rfam's summary of the family: Transfer RNA (tRNA) molecules are approximately 80 nucleotides in length. Their secondary structure includes four short double-helical elements and three loops (D, anti-codon, and T loops). Further hydrogen bonds mediate the characteristic L-shaped molecular structure. tRNAs have two regions of fundamental functional importance: the anti-codon, which is responsible for specific mRNA codon recognition, and the 3' end, to which the tRNAs corresponding amino acid is attached (by aminoacyl-tRNA synthetases). tRNAs cope with the degeneracy of the genetic code in two manners: having more than one tRNA (with a specific anti-codon) for a particular amino acid; and 'wobble' base-pairing, i.e. permitting non-standard base-pairing at the 3rd anti-codon position. Lineage: Eukaryota; Metazoa; Arthropoda; Arachnida; Ixodida; Ixodidae. The record is from Rfam by way of RNAcentral.
GACGAGGUGGCCGAGAGCUUAAGGCGAUGGACUGCUAAUCCAUUCGGCUCUGCCCCGUGGGUUCGAAUUCCCAUCCUCGUCG